Molecule: transfer RNA, 75 nt
Filed under: Desulfovibrio sp.
Lineage: Bacteria; Pseudomonadati; Thermodesulfobacteriota; Desulfovibrionia; Desulfovibrionales; Desulfovibrionaceae
Also listed under: 1 other name
Description: tRNA-Gln
Rfam family: tRNA
About the family: Transfer RNA (tRNA) molecules are approximately 80 nucleotides in length. Their secondary structure includes four short double-helical elements and three loops (D, anti-codon, and T loops).
Source: RNAcentral
UGGGUUGUCGUUCAAUUGGCAGGACGGCGGAUUCUGACUCCGCUAAUCAAGGUUCAAGUCCUUGCAACCCAGCCA